This 468-nucleotide ribosomal RNA is filed under the name uncultured bacterium. RNAcentral's name for it is "partial 16S ribosomal RNA". It matches the Rfam family "Bacterial small subunit ribosomal RNA", at positions 28 to 507 of the family's 1533-position model. The record is from RNAcentral.
GACGAACGCUGGCGGCGUGCUUAACACAUGCAAGUCGAACGGAAAGGCCCUGCUUUUGUGGGGUGCUCGAGUGGCGAACGGGUGAGUAACACGUGAGUAACCUGCCCUUGACUUUGGGAUAACUUCAGGAAACUGGGGCUAAUACCGGAUAGGAGCUCCUGCUGCAUGGUGGUGGUUGGAAAGUUUCGGCGGUUGGGGAUGGACUCGCGGCUUAUCAGCUGGUUGGUGGGGUAGUGGCUUACCAAGGUUUUGACGGGUAGCCGGCCUGAGAGGGUGACCGGCCACAUUGGGACUGAGAUACGGCCCAGACUCCUACGGGAGGCAGCAGUGGGGAGUAUUGCACAAUGGGCGGAAGCCUGAUGCAGCAACGCCGCGUGCGGGAUGACGGCCUUCGGGUUGUAAACCGCUUUCGCCUGUGACGAAGCGUGAGUGACGGUAAUGGGUAAAGAAGCACCGGCUAACUACGUG